Molecule: ribosomal RNA, 497 nt
Filed under: uncultured bacterium
Lineage: Bacteria
Description: partial 16S ribosomal RNA
Rfam family: Bacterial small subunit ribosomal RNA
Source: RNAcentral
GAUGAACGCUGGCGGCGUGCCUAAUACAUGCAAGUCGAGCGAACGGACGAGAAGCUUGCUUCUCUGAUGUUAGCGGCGGACGGGUGAGUAACACGUGGAUAACCUACCUAUAAGACUGGGAUAACUUCGGGAAACCGGAGCUAAUACCGGAUAAUAUUUUGAACCGCAUGGUUCAAAAGUGAAAGACGGUCUUGCUGUCACUUAUAGAUGGAUCCGCGCUGCAUUAGCUAGUUGGUAAGGUAACGGCUUACCAAGGCAACGAUGCAUAGCCGACCUGAGAGGGUGAUCGGCCACACUGGAACUGAGACACGGUCCAGACUCCUACGGGAGGCAGCAGUAGGGAAUCUUCCGCAAUGGGCGAAAGCCUGACGGAGCAACGCCGCGUGAGUGAUGAAGGUCUUCGGAUCGUAAAACUCUGUUAUUAGGGAAGAACAUAUGUGUAAGUAACUGUGCACAUCUUGACGGUACAUAAUCAGAAAGCCACGGCUAACUACGUG